UACAGAGGUCCCAAGCGUUGUUCGGAUUCAUUGGGCGUAAAGGGUGCGUAGGCGGCGCGGUAAGUCGGGGGUGAAAUCUCGGAGCUUAACUCCGAAACUGCAUUCGAUACUGCCGUGCUUGAGGACUGGAGAGGAGACUGGAAUUUACGGUGUAGCGGUGAAAUGCGUAGAUAUCGUAAGGAAGACCAGUGGCGAAGGCGGGUCUCUGGACAGUUCCUGACGCUGAGGCACGAAGGCCAGGGGAGCAAACGGG
This 253-nucleotide ribosomal RNA is filed under the name uncultured bacterium. RNAcentral's name for it is "partial 16S ribosomal RNA". It matches the Rfam family "Bacterial small subunit ribosomal RNA", at positions 524 to 776 of the family's 1533-position model. The record is from RNAcentral.